UCAAGAAUCUUCCUCAAUGGACGAAAGUCUGAAGGAGCAAUGCCGCGUGAUCGAUGAAGCCCCUCGGGGUGUAAAGAUCUUUUAUCAGGGACGAAUCCGUGACGGUACCUGAAGAAUAAGUCACUGCUAACUUCGUGCCAGCAGCAGCGGUAAUACGAAGGUGGCGAGCGUUACCCGGAUUGACUGGGCGUAAAGCGUCCGCAGACGGACAACCAAGUCUUUGGUUAAAUCCUGAGGCUCAACCUCAGGACCGCUAAAGAUACUGUUUGUCUAGAGGCUGGGAGAGGCAAGCGGAAUUACUGGUGUAGUAGUAAAAUGCGUUAAUAUCAGUAAGAACACCAAAAGCGAAGGCAGCUUGCUAGAACAGUCCUGACGUUCAGGGACGAAAGCGUGGGGAGCG
RNAcentral lists this ribosomal RNA (400 nucleotides) under uncultured bacterium. RNAcentral's name for it is "bacterial SSU rRNA". It matches the Rfam family "Bacterial small subunit ribosomal RNA", at positions 355 to 770 of the family's 1533-position model. The record is from RNAcentral.